RNAcentral lists this ribosomal RNA (408 nucleotides) under uncultured bacterium. RNAcentral's name for it is "bacterial SSU rRNA". It matches the Rfam family "Bacterial small subunit ribosomal RNA", at positions 8 to 418 of the family's 1533-position model. The record is from RNAcentral.
AGAGUUUGAUCCUGGCUCAGAUUGAACGCUGGCGGAAUGCUUUACACAUGCAAGUCGAGCGGCAGCGCGGGGGCAACCCUGGCGGCGAGCGGCGAACGGGUGAGUAACACAUAGGAACAUACCCAGUAAUGGGGGAUAACGCCGAGAAAUCGGUGCUAAUACCGCAUACGCCCUGAGGGGGAAAGCGGGGGAUCUUCGGACCUCGCGUUAUUGGAUUGGCCUAUGUCUGAUUAGCUAGUUGGUGGGGUAAAGGCCCACCAAGGCAUCGAUCAGUAGCUGGUCUGAGAGGAUGAUCAGCCACACUGGAACUGAGACACGGUCCAGACUCCUACGGGAGGCAGCAGUGGGGAAUUUUGGACAAUGGGCGAAAGCCUGAUCCAGCCAUUCCGCGUGAGUGAAGAAGGCCUU